This 300-nucleotide unclassified non-coding RNA is filed under the name Herpotrichiellaceae sp. RNAcentral describes it as "partial contains small subunit ribosomal RNA and internal transcribed spacer 1". The record is from RNAcentral. Lineage: Eukaryota; Fungi; Ascomycota; Eurotiomycetes; Chaetothyriales; Herpotrichiellaceae.
AAGUCGUAACAAGGUUUGUCCUUCCGGUUAAAGAUUUUAAGUGUCAAUUUCUUCACUACCGAAGCCUUUCAUACCGACUCUAAAAAUAGUGUGGAGUCUUAUCUUCCGAGGUAAAGACAAUACCGCUGAAAUGCUGCGAUCACGUAAGUGUACCAGCAGCCUAACCCUAGUUAGGCCCACAGAUCAAGUGGCGGUGGUCUAUAGCUAAAGCUAAAGACUAUAAUAUGACCGGUCCUAACCUAAACGGUUAAGAAUCAACGUUCCGUAGGUGAACCUGCGGAAGGAUCAUUACUGAGUUAG